Molecule: ribosomal RNA, 817 nt
Filed under: uncultured bacterium
Lineage: Bacteria
Description: bacterial SSU rRNA
Rfam family: Bacterial small subunit ribosomal RNA
Source: RNAcentral
GGAUAGCUAGAGUAUNUCAGAGGGGGGGUAGAAUUCCACGUGUAGCAGCGAAAUGCGUAGAGAUGUGGAGGAAUACCGAUGGCGAAGGCAGCCCCCUGGGAUAAUACUGACGUUCAUGCUCGAAAGCGUGGGUAGCAAACAGGAUUAGAUACCCUGGUAGUCCACGCCCUAAACGAUGUCGAUUAGCUGUUGGGCAACUUGAUUGCUUAGUAGCGUAGCUAACGCGUGAAAUCGACCGCCUGGGGAGUACGGUCGCAAGAUUAAAACUCAAAGGAAUUGACGGGGACCCGCACAAGCGGUGGAUGAUGUGGAUUAAUUCGAUGCAACGCGAAGAACCUUACCUGGUCUUGACAUGUACGGAAGAACUCAGAGACGAGUUUGUGCCUUCGGGAGCCGUAACACAGGUGCUGCAUGGCUGUCGUCAGCUCGUGUCGCGAGAUGUUGGGUUAAGUCCCGCAACGAGCGCAACCCUUGUCAUUAGUUGCCAUCAUUUAGUUGGGCACUCUAAUGAGACUGCCGGUGACAAGCCGGAGGAAGAUGGGGAUGACGUCAAGUCCUCAUGGCCCUUAUGACCAGGGCUUCACACGUCAUACAAUGGUCGGUACAGAGGGUAGCCAAGCCGCGAGGUGGAGCCAAUCCCAGAAAACCGAUCGUAGUCCGGAUUGCACUCUGCAACUCGAGUGCAUGAAGUCGGAAUCGCUAGUAAUCGCAGGUCAGCAUACUGCGGUGAAUACGUUCCCGGGUCUUGUACACACCGCCCGUCACACCAUGGGAGUGGGGGAUACCAGAAGUAGGUAGGGUAACCGCAAGGAGCCCG